Molecule: ribosomal RNA, 474 nt
Filed under: uncultured bacterium
Lineage: Bacteria
Description: bacterial SSU rRNA
Rfam family: Bacterial small subunit ribosomal RNA
Source: RNAcentral
UGGGGAAUUGUUCACAAUGGGCGCAAGCCUGAUGACGCAACGCCGCGUGGGGGAUGAAGGUCUUCGGAUCGUAAACCCCUGUCGAAUGGGACGAAUAGCCCGCGAAUUAAUACCCCGUGAAACUGACGGUACCUGCAGAAUAAGCACCGGCUAACUACGUGCCAGCAGCCGCGGUAAUACGUAGGGUGCAAGCGUUAAUCGGAAUUACUGGGCGUAAAGCGUGCGCAGGCGGUUCGGAAAGAAAGAUGUGAAAUCCCAGAGCUUAACUUUGGAACUGCAUUUUUAACUACCGGGCUAGAGUGUGUCAGAGGGAGGUGGAAUUCCGCGUGUAGCAGUGAAAUGCGUAGAUAUUAGUAGGAACACCGAUGGCGUAGGCAGGUUACUGGAUCGCAACUGACACUGAGGCACGAAAGCGUGGGGAGCAAACGGGGAUUAGAUACCCAUGUAGUCCCUGAGCGGGCUGGCAAGGCGCAU